Molecule: ribosomal RNA, 377 nt
Filed under: uncultured Chloroflexota bacterium
Lineage: Bacteria; Bacillati; Chloroflexota
Description: bacterial SSU rRNA
Rfam family: Bacterial small subunit ribosomal RNA
Source: RNAcentral
UAAUACGUAGGAGGCGAACGUUAUUCGGAUUUACUGGGCGUAAAGGGAGCGUAGGCGGUUCCUUAAGUCAGAUGUGAAAUCUUCUGAUUCAAUCAGAAGGCGUCAUUUGAUACUGAGGGACUUGAGAGCAGCAGAGGGAAAUGGAAUCCCCGGUGUAGCGGUGAAAUGCGUAGAUAUUGGGGAGAACACCAGUGGCGAAGGCGAUUUCCCAGGUUGUUUCUGACGCUGAGGCUCGAAAGCGUGGGGAGCGAAGCGGAUUAGAUACCCGCGUAGUCCACGCCGUAAACGGUGGACACUAGAUAUAGGAGGUAUCGACCCCUUCUGUGUCGAAGCUAACGCCUUAAGUGUCCCGCCUGGGUAGUACGGCCGCAAGGCUG